RNAcentral lists this ribosomal RNA (440 nucleotides) under uncultured bacterium. Its description in RNAcentral is "partial 16S ribosomal RNA". It matches the Rfam family "Bacterial small subunit ribosomal RNA", at positions 338 to 795 of the family's 1533-position model. The record is from RNAcentral.
CCUACGGGGAGCAGCAGUAGGGGAUCUUGCACAAUGGAGGGAACUCUGAUGCAGCGACGCCGCGUGAGGGAAGAAGGUUUUCGGAUUGUAAACCUCUGUCUUCGGUGACGAAACGAGACGGUAGCAGAGGAGGAAGCCACGGCUAACUACGUGCCAGCAGCCGCGGUAAUACGUAGGUGGCAAGCGUGGUCCGGAAUUACUGGGGGUACAGGGAGCGUAGGUGUGAAAUCAAGUUGAAUGUUUAAGGUACGGGCUCAACCUGUACGAGCGUUCAAAACUGUUUUUCUUGAGUGGAGUAGAGGUAAGUGGAAUUCCUAGUGUAGCGGUGAAAUGCGUAAAUAUUAGGAGGAACACCAGUGGCGAAGGCGGCUUUCUGGGCUUUAACUGACGCUGAGGCUCGAAAGCGUGGGUAGCAAACAGGAUUAGAUACCCGAGUAGUC